UUUUUGGUUCUUCGCAAUGGCGUUCGGUUUACUUGGUCAGGUCCGGAAGGAAGCAGCCAGAAUCGAAAUUGCCGUGUGCCGAAGGUUAGCUGGAAACGC
Molecule: non-coding RNA, 99 nt
Organism: Bibersteinia trehalosi
Lineage: Bacteria; Pseudomonadati; Pseudomonadota; Gammaproteobacteria; Pasteurellales; Pasteurellaceae
Source: Rfam